UCCAGGUGGUUGGCAAGACGCCCAACCAAGGUGACCACAAUGGUAGUGAUCAUCAUGGUGCCGACACCGACGACGACGCGCAUAGGUCGCAAGGAGAUAGCGACAACGCCGCGCAUGACACAGGCGGAGAUCUCGACGACAACAUCGACAACGAGGCGCAUAGUGACGACGACAAUCAAGAUGAUGGUCACGGUCACGACGACUACGCCGACGACACGGAUGUCGAUGACACACCAGGGUCUCAG
RNAcentral lists this long non-coding RNA (245 nucleotides) under Hordeum vulgare. RNAcentral's name for it is "long non-coding RNA (HVUL_LNC000393)". Lineage: Eukaryota; Viridiplantae; Streptophyta; Magnoliopsida; Poales; Poaceae. The record is from RNAcentral.